UACGUAGGGGGCUAGCGUUGUCCGGAUUUAUUGGGCGUAAAGAGCUCGUAGGCGGCCUGUCGCGUCUGCUGUGAAAUCCCGGGGCUUAACCCCGGGCGUGCAGUGGAUACGGGCUGGCUGGAGGCAGGUAGGGGUAGAGGGAAUUCCCAGUGUAGCGGUGAAAUGCGUAGAUAUUGGGAAGAACAUCAGUGGCGAAAGCGCUCUACUGGACCUUAUCUGACAUUGAGGGACGAAAGCUAGGGGAGCGAAUGGG
This 253-nucleotide ribosomal RNA is filed under the name uncultured bacterium. Its description in RNAcentral is "partial 16S ribosomal RNA". It matches the Rfam family "Bacterial small subunit ribosomal RNA", at positions 524 to 776 of the family's 1533-position model. The record is from RNAcentral.